UACGAAAGUUGAAUUUUCGAAACUACAAAAUUUUGGUAUAAAUACGAGGACGAUUUAAUGGGUUCGACAUUAUAAUUAACAAUAUGAAGAUCCAAGUAUUUCUAGCUAUUGCGCUGAUUAUAUUAGCAAUAGCUAUUGCUCAUCCAAGUCCGAAAGCUCAUAGAGGUGGCUGCUGUGGCCCUUGGGUUGGUGGAGGUGGCGGAGGCGGCGGCGGUGGCGGUGGAGGUUGGCAAAGCGGUGGUGGAGGAGGAGGUGGUGGAAAAUAGAUUUACACAGAUUGUGAUAUCUUUCUUAAAGCAAAUAAAUAAGCCAAAGUGCUAUUAUUAAAUAAGUGAGUUAUUCAUUAAAUAUUUGGAUAUAUCGUCCUUUCUAAAAUAUUGACAAUUAACAAUAACCUAUGUAAAGAACAUUAUAUCAAAAUCCAUACAUAAUAUUCAAAGUUUAAAAACUCGCUAUUUUAAAUACUUUUUAAUUCAUCAUUUUGAGUACUUUAGCCCUGCAAUAAAUAAACUGUUGAGCAUAGUAAAAUUAUUUCGAAGUACAUCAACUAUUUUCGAAUUUUCUUUCUGUUGCCAAUAUUGUAAUA
This is a long non-coding RNA of Bactrocera neohumeralis, 586 nucleotides long. RefSeq lists it as uncharacterized. Lineage: Eukaryota; Metazoa; Arthropoda; Insecta; Diptera; Tephritidae. The transcript is spliced from 2 exons. The record is from RefSeq and is a predicted model, not a curated record.